UAGGGAAUCUUCCGCAAUGGACGCAAGUCUGACGGAGCAACGCCGCGUGAGUGAAGAAGGAUUUCGGUUCGUAAAACUCUGUUGUUAGAGAAGAACAGCGCAUAGAGUAACUGUUAUGCGUGUGACGGUAUCUAACCAGAAAGCCACGGCUAACUACGUGCCAGCAGCCGCGGUAAUACGUAGGUGGCAAGCGUUGUCCGGAUUUAUUGGGCGUAAAGCGAGCGCAGGCGGUCAAUUAAGUCUGAUGUGAAAGCCCCCGGCUCAACCGGGGAGGGUCAUUGGAAACUGGUUGACUUGAGUGCAGAAGAGGGGAGUGGAAUUCCAUGUGUGGCGGUGAAAUGCGUAGAUAUAUGGAGGAACACCAGUGGCGAAGGCGACUCUCUGGUCUGUAACUGACGCUGAGGCUCGAAAGCGUGGGUAGCAAACAGG
Molecule: ribosomal RNA, 429 nt
Filed under: Bacteroidota bacterium
Lineage: Bacteria; Pseudomonadati; Bacteroidota
Description: Bacteroidetes bacterium partial 16S ribosomal RNA
Rfam family: Bacterial small subunit ribosomal RNA
Source: RNAcentral